This is a long non-coding RNA of Pelmatolapia mariae (spotted tilapia), 196 nucleotides long. RefSeq lists it as uncharacterized. NCBI's taxonomy places the organism in Eukaryota, Metazoa, Chordata, Actinopteri, Cichliformes, Cichlidae. The record is from RefSeq and is a predicted model, not a curated record. The transcript has 3 exons.
GCUGUCUAAACAAGAUUAGCAGUGUGGAGAAAGAGAAAUGUGGAGGACCAACUGAUAAGGGCACAGAACCUCAGCGCUAACUAUGUGGCCGCUGUAGCAUGCAGUGGAAUGUUUCUCAUCCCUUUAAAGGCAAAGUGGGCUUGGUGACAACAACAAUCGCUGAAGACCAAGAAGAGCGAGUCAUCCUUCUUUUCUU